GAAGAGAUAAAGGCUGGUCCCCAGCAACAUCUCUGUGGUCCCUACAGACACAGCAGCCCCUGUUCCUCGCCUGACUACCGCGAUGCACCUCAGAUGCAUGCCUGCCACGGGUCUGGACAAGUUCAGCCAAGACCAUCUCCUGCUAGACUGUGCUUUCUGCAGAGACAUCAAGCAUGCCAUCAAACUCAUCUGCGACUUCCUGGGGGAGAGGUGCUUUUUUCCAGGUCUCCCUCUCCCUGUGCGGGUGUCCACGGCGGUGGCAGUGAGCUCACACCAGGCCCCAGCUCUCAAAGCUUCCACCAGCUCUCAGCAGGGCCACCCUGGGGACCAAGCCUUUACACAUGGCCCUCGGGCAACAUUCAGGAGCCAAACUGUAGUCCCCAGGGUUCAGACAGCUCUGCCCUACCAGUAUUGGGGCUGCUGGUUCAAGGACAAAAUCGUGAGAUUUGGAGAGAGAGGAGCAGUGCCCAAGGAUGAUGGAAAUGACUGUGCGAAAUUCAGAGCCCCUGCGCAGGGACAUCUCUGAGUCCCUAGGAAGGAAUCUGCUGGGAGCGAUGCGCUGUAGAUCACUAUGGCCAGGCCUAAUUCACCUCCUCCCUCGGACGAGGCAGGGCCCGGUGGAGAACGGACAACAAGAGGGCAUAGUGGAGUGGCUGGGCGUGGUGGAGCAAGGCCUGGCCAGAAGAGGACUGUCUUCCUUCCCAGACAUUCACCAGAGAAACAUCAAGCAUUAGCUCCUGCAGACCUAGCCAUUCUCCCUGUUCCAAUCCGGCAUCCCCUUUCAGUUUCCAUAUCUACACUAUAAAGAAAGGCGCUGAGGAUGCAAGCCAAUGUUUGUCUCAUCAGGAUAAAGAGUUUCCACCUGGCCUCAGCUUUGUAAACCUUACUGUUCUUUGUUGUAUUCUUUGUCUUGUUCUUUAAGUUUCUUAAUCUCUCACCUUCAUCGUUUCUUACUCAUGAACCCUUCAGACAAGCAGGCCGAGGCAGAAAUCCAUUCUGGGCUCCUCCCGACUAAGGAAACAAAACCAGCUGUGGAGGGUAAGUGUUUACCCAGCAGAGAGGGC
This 1064-nucleotide long non-coding RNA is filed under the name Heterocephalus glaber (naked mole-rat). RNAcentral describes it as "lncRNA (ENSHGLG00000050972.1)". Lineage: Eukaryota; Metazoa; Chordata; Mammalia; Rodentia; Bathyergidae. The record is from RNAcentral.